RNAcentral lists this ribosomal RNA (468 nucleotides) under uncultured bacterium. Its description in RNAcentral is "partial 16S ribosomal RNA". It matches the Rfam family "Bacterial small subunit ribosomal RNA", at positions 28 to 507 of the family's 1533-position model. The record is from RNAcentral.
GACGAACGCUGGCGGCGUGCUUAACACAUGCAAGUCGAACGGAAAGGCCCUGCUUUUGUGGGGUGCUCGAGUGGCGAACGGGUGAGUAACACGUGAGUAACCUGCCCUUGACUUUGGGAUAACUUCAGGAAACUGGGGCUAAUACCGGAUAGGAGCUCCUGCUGCAUGGUGGGGGUUGGAAAGUUUCGGCGGUUGGGGAUGGACUCGCGGGUUAUCAGCUUGUUGGUGGGGUAGUGGCUUACAAAGGCUUUGACGGGUAGCCGGCCUGAGAGGGUGACCGGCCACAUUGGGACUGAGAUACGGCCCAGACUGCUACGGGAGGCAGCAGUGGGGAAUAUUGCACAAUGGGCGGAAGCCUGAUGCAGCAACGCCGCGUGCGGGAUGACGGCCUUCGGGUUGUAAACCGCUUUCGCCUGUGACGAAGCGUGAGUGACGGUAAUGGGUAAAGAAGCACCGGCUAACUACGUG